GUUAAUAAUUAUUUUAAAAUUUAAGUUUGAAUUUUAAUUUAAAUAAAAAAGUUUUUGGUUUAAUUAAUAUUUAGGAAAAAAUAUUUUUCAUUAUAGAGUAUAAGAUACUGAAGGGGAAAUUUUAUUUAAAGUUGAAGGAGUAAUUUAGUGUACCUUGUGUAUCAGGGUUUAUUAAAUAUAAAUUAUGAAAUAUAUUUUUCUCGAAUUAAAAAGGGCUAAAUUUGUAAAUAUUAUAUUGUGGAAAAACUAUUUAUAAUACAAAUUUAGAAAUGAAAUGUUAUUCGUUUUUUAAGAUAUCUAGUUUUUAAAGAAAAAAAUUUAAUUUUUUUUUAAAAAGUAAAAAUUGAUUGUUCAAUUAAUUUAUUUUUAAAAUUUUAUAUAUUUAGGGAUGAGCUUGAAUAUAAAGUAUUAUAAUUUAAUAUAGAAAUUAUUUAUUUUAAGGAUUUAAAUUGUUCAUAAUUAUAAGGAUGUAAUAGUUAAAAAAUAAUAGAUUAAGAUUUAUAUUUAGUUUAAUUUUUUUAUUUAAACAUUAAGAAUAACUAUAAUAUUAAAGAGAAAAUGAUAAAAUUAGUAUAAUUUUAAAUUAAGAAUAUACAAGAUAUAGUUAAUUAUAAGGAAUUCGGCAAAAUAAUUUUUCACCUGUUUAUUAAAAACAUGUCUUUUUGAAUUUAAUUUAAAGUUGGCCCUGCCCACUGAAAUUUAAAUGGCCGCGGUAUUUUGACCGUGCGAAGGUAGCAUAAUCAUUAGUUUUUUAAUUGGAAGCUGGAAUGAAGGGGUUGAUGAAAAAGUUACUGUCUCGUAAUUAUUUAAUUAGAAUUUUAUUUUAAAGUAAAAAAGCUUUAAUUUUUUUUAAAGACGAUAAGACCCUAUAGAGUUUAAUAUAAUUAAGAAUAUUAUUAUAGGAAUUUAAAUAUUUAAUUUUGAAAUUGUAUUUUGUUGGGGUGACAGAAAAAUAAGGUUAACUUUUUUUAGUUAAAACAUUAAUUAAUGGAGAAAUGAUCUGAAAAUUUCAAUUAUAAGAUAAAUUACCUUAGGGAUAACAGCGUAAUUUUCUUUAAGAGUUCAAAUCGAAAAGAGAGUUUGCGACCUCGAUGUUGGAUUAAAAUAAAAUUUUGGAGUAGCAAAUAAAAAAUUUAGGUCUGUUCGACCUUUAAAAUUUUACAUGAUCUGAGUUUAAACCGGUGUGAGCCAGGUUGGUUUCUAUCUUGAAGAUAAGUAAAUAUUAUAGUACGAAAGGAUUUAAUAUUAAGUUAAAAAUUUAAAUG
RNAcentral lists this ribosomal RNA (1265 nucleotides) under Chirotenon longimanus. Its description in RNAcentral is "16S ribosomal RNA". The stretch from base 1036 to 1195 matches the Rfam family "Archaeal large subunit ribosomal RNA", at positions 2542 to 2701 of the family's 2987-position model. The record is from RNAcentral. Lineage: Eukaryota; Metazoa; Arthropoda; Insecta; Coleoptera; Anthribidae.